Molecule: ribosomal RNA, 492 nt
Filed under: uncultured bacterium
Lineage: Bacteria
Description: partial 16S ribosomal RNA
Rfam family: Bacterial small subunit ribosomal RNA
Source: RNAcentral
AGUGAACGCUGGCGGUAGGCCUAACACAUGCAAGUCGAACGGCAGCAUAGCAAGAGCUUGCUCUUACGGGUGGCGAGUGGCGGACGGGUGAGGAAUACAUCGGAAUCUACUUUUUCGUGGGGGAUAACGUAGGGAAACUUACGCUAAUACCGCAUACGACCUACGGGUGAAAGCAGGGGAUCUUCGGACCUUGCGCGAUUGAAUGAGCCGAUGCCGGAUUAGCUAGUUGGCGGGGUAAAGGCCCACCAAGGCGACGAUCCGUAGCUGGUCUGAGAGGAUGAUCAGCCACACUGGAACUGAGACACGGUCCAGACUCCUACGGGAGGCAGCAGUGGGGAAUAUUGGACAAUGGGCGCAAGCCUGAUCCAGCCAUACCGCGUGGGUGAAGAAGGCCUUCGGGUUGUAAAGCCCUUUUGUUGGGAAAGAAAAGCAGCAGGUUAAUACCCCGCUGUUCUGACGGUACCCAAAGAAUAAGCACCGGCUAACUUCGUG